RNAcentral lists this ribosomal RNA (109 nucleotides) under Candidatus Moraniibacteriota bacterium. The record is from RNAcentral. Lineage: Bacteria; Candidatus Moraniibacteriota.
CUCGGUGCCUUGAGCGGAGCGGGUACACCUGUUCCCAUCCCGAACACAGCAGUUAAGUGCUCCAGCGCCGAUGGUACCCCCUUGGGGGGAGAGUAGGUCGGUGCCGAGA